RNAcentral lists this ribosomal RNA (484 nucleotides) under uncultured bacterium. RNAcentral's name for it is "partial 16S ribosomal RNA". It matches the Rfam family "Bacterial small subunit ribosomal RNA", at positions 30 to 507 of the family's 1533-position model. The record is from RNAcentral.
AUUGAACGCUGGCGGCAGGCCUAACACAUGCAAGUCGAGCGGAUGAAGGGAGCUUGCUCCUGGAUUCAGCGGCGGACGGGUGAGUAAUGCCUAGGAAUCUGCCUGGUAGUGGGGGAUAACGUCCGGAAACGGGCGCUAAUACCGCAUACGUCCUGAGGGAGAAAGUGGGGGAUCUUCGGACCUCACGCUAUCAGAUGAGCCUAGGUCGGAUUAGCUAGUUGGUGGGGUAAAGGCCUACCAAGGCGACGAUCCGUAACUGGUCUGAGAGGAUGAUCAGUCACACUGGAACUGAGACACGGUCCAGACUCCUACGGGAGGCAGCAGUGGGGAAUAUUGGACAAUGGGCGAAAGCCUGAUCCAGCCAUGCCGCGUGUGUGAAGAAGGUCUUCGGAUUGUAAAGCACUUUAAGUUGGGAGGAAGGGCAGUAAGUUAAUACCUUGCUGUUUUGACGUUACCUACAGAAUAAGCACCGGCUAACUUCGUG